CAGGGAUGAGUGGGAAAGCGGGACUCUCGGGCUCUCUCUAGGGGUAAUUCCGGGUAAGGCUGGACUCUCGGGCUCUCUCUAGGGUUCUUCCGGGUAAGGCCGGACUCUCAGGCUCUCUCUAGGGGUAAUUCCGGGUAAGGCUGGACUCUCGGGCUCUCUCUAGGGUUCUUCCGGGUAAGGCUGGACUCUCGGGCUCUCUCUAGGGUUCUUCCGGGUAAGGCCGGACUCUCAGGCUCUCUCUAGGGGUAAUUCCGGGUAAGGCGGACUCUCAGGCUCUCUCUAGGGGUAAUUCCGGGUAAGGCCGGACUCUCAGGCUCUCUCUAGGGGUAAUUCCGGGUAAGGCGGACUCUCAGGCUCUCUCUAGGGGUAAUUCCGGGUAAGGCCGGACUCUCGGGCUCUCUCUAGGGGUAAUUCCGGGUAAGGCCGGACUCUCAGGCUCUCUCUAGGGGUAAUUCCGGGUAAGGCCGGACUCUCAGGCUCUCUCUAGGGGUCUUCCGGGUAAGGCCGGACUCUACUCUCGGGCUCUCUCUAGGGGUCUUCCAGGUAAGGCUGGACUCUCGGGCUCUCUCUAGGGUUCUUCCGGGUAAGGCCGGACUCUCAGGCUCUCUCUAGGAGUCCUGACAGCAGUUAAACAGACUGUUACAUAAAAAUUCAUAUGAAUCUAUAUAUCCCUGAGCUCAACGUCUUUCCUAUAAUCCUUCCCUGGCCUGAGACACAGAGCGUGGGAAUCCCGAGACGUUUCAGUGAGUUCCUUUCAGUUGUAAAUUGUGACGCCACCUCUGCACCUGGUCACACGUUCUGGUUCAUGCCCUGACAAGAGACGCAUGGCUGAGCUCUGCGCAGGUAAUCCGUGGUAAUUUGGUUUAGGCCGUGUUUAAAUCAUGUUCACUUAUCUGAUGUAUGCGUUCAAUGAUCCCCAUAAUACAUUUUGGUAUCUAAUGGAUAGAAAUAUGUUUCGUGUACUAUAUGG
Molecule: long non-coding RNA, 970 nt
Organism: Bufo bufo (common toad)
Lineage: Eukaryota; Metazoa; Chordata; Amphibia; Anura; Bufonidae
Exons: 2
Source: RefSeq, a predicted model, not a curated record